UAGUUUAUUAUAAAUCUAGUUUUAGGUUAGAUUUCAUGUCAAAUACUAGUUUAAUCCCCAUAUUUUGUGUAGGAAAGCAUUGGUUCCUUGAUGCUUGAAGCAACGGAGUUACAAAAGUAAAGAUUUCCUGAAGCUUGAAGCUUGCUUGAAGUAAAGGAAUUACAUGAUGGAUAUUGCUUACUGCUCCAAGAUUGCUUCAAGCAAUCAUUUUACAGUAAGAUGUUCUUUUUCUCUGGAGAAUGCUUGAAGUUUGCUUGAAGCAGAAAAGGAAGGAAAUAAGGCGGUGGAGAAUUCUUUCCCACGAAGAAAGCUUUCCUGAAGAUGCUUGAAGCAACCUUGGAGCAAUCUUGACAGCAAAACUCUAUAAAAGGACCAAACACACACUUUGAACGGGAAUUGGCCAUUUUGCUUCAUUUCUAGACACACCCAAAUAGAGAGAACAAGGGAGAAAGCUUAGGAGGCUGAAGCGGAAGCUUGGGUGCCGGAUUCGACGGCGAGACAUCGCGGAGUCUUCGGUUCUUCUUUCUUCUUCUUCUUCAUGAUUUUAAAGCUAUCCAUAAAAAUGGAUAGCUAAUCUCCCUUUGUUGGGAUUAGUUGUAGCCUUUUGGCCUUUAUGCCCUCACUUUGAUCUAUAUAUAUGAAUCUUUGUUUCUAUGAAUGGUUUCAAUGAUGUUACUUUGUUCUUAAUGCUUGUUUUGGCUUGAUCACCUAAGACAUGAAAAUGGAUUUGAUAAGUUUAGUGAGAACUAGCUAAUUGAAUCUGAUCUAGGUAAAUAUCAUCUAAUGAAUCUAAAAUCUAGAGAUAGGAUUGGAUCAUUAGUCAAACUAACAUCUAUGCUUAAUGCUUCUUGCUUUGUUAAUCAAUCAAGAGAUUGAGGGUUAAUUUAGUAAGACGAUAAUCUUCGCAUAGGGAGACCGUGUAGUAAGAUAAGAUAUGGUGUGAUGGAACCAAUCAUAGGACAAGAUUUAUGUAUGAAGCCUUAGAGUGCGUAAAGUCAAUCGGUGAAUUCCAAUUCCAACAAUCGUCUCCUCUUGAUCUCAAACCUCUUUUAUAUCGUUUUGUUAAGGCUUUUCACUUAUUUUCAUGUUCAAACAACAAUCAAUCUCUUUUUAAAACCAUUGUUUGAGUUUGUUAACUAUUGAACGGCGUAAGUAUUACACCUCCCUGUGGAUACGACAAAACCCUUUACUAUACUACAAUUGAGUCUUGAGAGAUUCAAACGUAGAGUGGUAAAAAAUCUUUCAACAAAAUGGCGCCGUUGCCGGGGAGGUGUGCCAAUACUAAUUGCAUUGCAAUAGUUUUCAUUCUUGAAUGAUUGUGAAUAUAGUGUAUAGUUCUUGUUUUCAGUUUGACUUUCCUUGUUGUUACUAAUCUCUUGUGUUAGUUAGCUAGUUCAAGAGGAGAAGCAACAAGAAGCUUCUGAAUCACCACUUUCACAAAAUGUUUCAAUCAUCUCAGACAUACUACCCCACUGAAGAGGAUAAGAUUUCUAAGCUCGAGGAUACCUUGGUGCAAUUCAUGAAAUUGUCAAUGAUUCAUCAAAGAAAUACCGAUGCUUCUAUCAAGAACUUGGAGAAUCAAUUGGGGAAGCUAGCUAAUAUGGUAGCUGAACGUGAAAGAGAUAUGGUUGAAGCACAAGGGGAAGUCUAAGAAAGUGAGGAGGAAGAAGAAAAAUCAAAAAAAGAAGAAAGAGAUCCAACUCUUCACCAUUUACUGAUUCCUCCAAGCCCUCCAAAGGUAAAACAUGAAGAGGGUGAGUGUUCUUGUGGUAAUCUAGUGUGCUUAUGCCUACGUUUCAUAUAUUGUUGGCCUGAGGACAGUCCAAAACUCUUGGAGGGGGUGAGAGAUCAAGAAUCUGAGGCAAAAACCCCAGAUUUGACUGGAAUUGAACAUCAUACAUCAUGAGGGAGUAGUCUUUAUCUUGUUUUAGUUUCUUUUAGUGUAUAUAGCACUUUUGUCCUAGAUUAUAUGAUUAAUUGAUUGUUUUCAGUACUAGCAUGGCUAUCAUAAGAAUUGCUUGAUGUUUUUUCUCUGAAAAUGAAUUGAAUUGAUUGAAUCCAUGACUGAGAUUGUGUUUGCACUCAUUAUGCUAUGACUUGAUAUGAUUGCAUGAUCCACAUGGUACUCAUAGGCCUAACAUGAAAGUUGCUUAAAAAUCAGGAAAAUUUUAAACUUUUUAGCCUGUGAGGGAGUGUUUCUAUACACUAUGAGUUGAGAGAUCAUCAGUGAAUUACAUGGUUGAUUUUGUUUGAGUCUCUUGUGAUCGUUGGUUCAUGGAAUUGAUAAGAAAUGAUCAAGGCAUGUUUUGUUCUGUAUAUAUAUAUAUACAACUACUUAGCCAAAUAACCGACCUUUUUCAAGUCAAUUCCAUAGUUACCCCAUUUGAGCCUAAAAUUGAAAAAUCAUGUAUUUUGUUCUUUCUUAUAACCCUUAAGCCUCAAAUAAAAACAAUGACUUUCCUAAGCUUGAUAGGCUAAGAGAGCAUCAUUAGUGUGGGUUGUAUGCAAGUUGAGGGGAAAAGCUAUUAUGGUUUGUGUAAUUUAUAUCAAUCUCUUUGUAUAUACUUUGAAAAAGUGAAAAGAGUAAAAUUCAAAGGCGAAAAAGAAAAAAAAAAAAGAAAAAGAAAAAAAAAGAAUAAAAGAGAGAUUGAUGGAAGAAAAGGGUUGAGUUGAAUUGAAAAUGGUGAAUGGAGUUGGUUAAAAGCAAGAAUGGGAGUGAAUAUCAUGAAAGUAAGUUGUGAUUGCUCUCUUAGGCUUGUUGAGUUACUUUGCAUAUCUGAAAAACCAAGUUCUUUGAAGCCUAGCCUCAUUACAACCUAGAAAAGUCCUUAGUGAUCUUUAAUUGAACAUGCAACUUUGAUGUUUGUGGAGACAGGUAACAACUUUGACUUCUGUGAUUCAAUGAUGAAAAGAAUUAAACACUUACCUUUCUUGAUUCUAUUGAUAUAUCUAAGGUUGUUGAGUGAGUCCCUGGUUGAUAAGUGAUUGAAUGGAAUGCUUAUUGAGUUUCAUGUUGGAUAAGCAAUUGUAUCUUUGUUGUGCAUUCUAUUGUGGGCAUCAUAUUUAUGUUUUUGGAUCACUCAUUCAAUUUUUGUGAAAUCUUGCAGUUGAAACUUUGAAAAAUAUUCAAAUCAUGCUUGUCUGAAAACAGUUUUGACCUUUUGUUUGAGGACAAACAAAGUGCUAAGUUGGGGGGAGUUGAUAAGUGCCAAUUUUACGUACUUUUCACUCUUAUUUUGAGCACUUAUAUGACGUGUGUGCUUCAUUUAUAUAUCAUUUAACCUUCAUUUUAGUAGUUUAUUAUAAAUCUAGUUUUAGGUUAGAUUUCAUGUCAAAUACUAGUUUAAUCCCCAUAUUUUGUGUAGGAAAGCAUUGGUUCCUUGAUGCUUGAAGCAACGGAGUUACAGAAGUAAAGAUUUCCUGAAGCUUGAAGCUUGCUUGAAGCAAAGGAAUUACAGGAUGGAUAUUGCUUACUGCUCCAAGAUUGCUUCAAGCAAUCAUUUUACAGUAAGAUGUUCUUUUUCUCUGGAGAAUGCUUGAAGUUUGCUUGAAGUAGAAAAGGAAGGAAAUAAGGCGGUGGAGAAUUCUUUCCCACGAAGAAAGCUUUCCUGAAGAUGCUUGAAGCAACCUUGGAGCAAUCUUGACAGCAAAACUCUAUAAAAGGACCAAACACACACUUUGAACGGGAGUUGGCCAUUUUGCUUCAUUUCUAGACACACCCAAAUAGAGAUAACAAGGGAGAAAGCUUAGGAGGCUGAAGCGGAAGCUUGGGUGCCGGAUUCGACGGCGAGACAUCGCGGAGUCUUCGGUUCUUCAUGAUUUUAAAGCUAUCCAUGAAAAUGGAUAGCUAAUCUCCCUUUGUUGGGAUUAGUUGUAGCCUUUUGGCCUUUAUGCCCUCACUUUGAUCUAUAUAUAUGAAUCUUUGUUUCUAUGAAUGGUUUCAAUGAUGUUACUUUGUUCUUAAUGCUUGUUUUGGCUUGAUCACCUAAGACAUGAAAAUGGA
Long non-coding RNA from Lotus japonicus, 4003 nucleotides. RefSeq lists it as uncharacterized. NCBI's taxonomy places the organism in Eukaryota, Viridiplantae, Streptophyta, Magnoliopsida, Fabales, Fabaceae. The record is from RefSeq and is a predicted model, not a curated record. The transcript is spliced from 3 exons.